UUCCAUAUAAACUGAUACAGAAAAGGCAAAAAUUGUUGUAUAAAAAAUUCACUAGAAUGCAGUUACUUAAGUGUUUUUCUGGCAAAGGACCCCAAACCCCCCUAUUUCAUAUGUAUGUCCCCCAGUGUUGAAAUAAAAUCUACGCCCUUGGAGCACAGGUUAGGCUACAGUCUAAUAUAUCUGGUUAAGUAAAUAUGUGUCUGCCUUUCUGUUCUUUUUCUUAUCGGUCUCAUUGUUAUUGACUGUUGUUUGUGUUAGUCUGUGUCCACUGGUGUUCUUUUAUUACAGCACUUAUAGAAAGAGACAGAGUGAAAUGGAGGGAGGGAGAAGAAGGGCAGAGAGCACAGGAGAUGGAUGGAGAGGGAGGGAGGGAGGGAGAAGGAAGCAGGGAGGGAGAUAGGGGCCGGGUGACGGGCAAAGAGAGGAUGGAGAGGGGGGCGAAGAAGGGGAGAUGGAGUGGCUGAGAAAUGAAAGACACAGAUGGGAGGGGUCGUGGAGGAGGAAGUCUCUGUGGUCCCGGUGACAGCUGAAGUAGUGCAGACAGCUCUGUGGUCCUUCGUACCUCACCAUCAUGGCGGCCUGCAGAGGACGUAUGGCGUCGCGAUUGUUGAACAUCUGAACUGAUUGGCUGGUGAACUGGAGUGAACAUAAAGCUGACGCUUUGCGUCCGGGCAGACUGCAGGCGGCUGUUUGAAAUGGCGGAGGACAGAGGAGGAGAAGUGGAGAGCAGCAGAGUGGCUGCUGGGAAAACACAGAGCGGAGCUGCAGUGCAAAGUGGAACUGGACUGACUUCCUCUCAUGCACUGAGCAGUGUGUUACAACAAACUCUGAUCUGUGUGUCCUUUCCCCAUUACUGUCAUCUUGUCAUACAAAUGGUUCAAAGCUACUCAAAUUGACAGUUUUUAAUGUUUGUAUGACACAUUUUGUAGUUCAUUUAAAAAAAUAUGAAAUGAAAUAUACGUCCUGAAUUUGUCAAAUGGUGUGAUUCUGUCUUUAUGCAGCUUAGAUAUACGUACUUAAAUUACAAAUGGCAUGGCCACAUUAAAUUAUUAAUGAAGCUGCUGUGAUCACAGUGGCCACUAGAUGCAACUGUACUGUGUGAGCAUGUCAAAUCAAAGAGUCAAUUAUUGUCUCCUUUCAUACUCCUCACUGUGCAUCGCAGGCUUACUGUCUGAACUCUCAUGUUUGAGACCUCAUCUGUGAGGAUGAAAAAUGAUUUUACAGGUUUGAUGCAGGAAACAUUAUUUACUUACACUUUUGUCCCACGUUUAUAACAGGCUGCAGUCUGUCUAUCA
Long non-coding RNA from Epinephelus fuscoguttatus (brown-marbled grouper), 1295 nucleotides. RefSeq lists it as uncharacterized. The record is from RefSeq and is a predicted model, not a curated record. NCBI's taxonomy places the organism in Eukaryota, Metazoa, Chordata, Actinopteri, Perciformes, Serranidae. The transcript has 3 exons.